Molecule: unclassified non-coding RNA, 169 nt
Filed under: uncultured Knufia
Lineage: Eukaryota; Fungi; Ascomycota; Eurotiomycetes; Chaetothyriales; Chaetothyriaceae
Description: sequence contains ITS2
Source: RNAcentral
UCCCCCCUCAAACCUCGCGUUUGGUGUUGGGCCGCGUCGGUCUUCGGUGACCAGACGGGCCUCAAAGACAAUGACGGCGUCCGUGGGACCCUCGGUGCAACGAGCUUUUAGGAGCACGCAUCGAGUUUUCAAGGUCCCUCCGGGCCGGUCUACCCUUACAUUUUAUCAA